RNAcentral lists this ribosomal RNA (464 nucleotides) under uncultured Methanolinea sp. RNAcentral describes it as "bacterial SSU rRNA". It matches the Rfam family "Archaeal small subunit ribosomal RNA", at positions 875 to 1338 of the family's 1478-position model. Lineage: Archaea; Methanobacteriati; Methanobacteriota; Methanomicrobia; Methanomicrobiales; Methanoregulaceae. The record is from RNAcentral.
AGCACCACAACAGGUGGAGCCUACGGUUUAAUCGGACUCAACGCCGGGAAGCUCACCGGAUAAGACAGCGGAAUGAUAGCCGGGCUGAAGACUCUGCUUGACUAGCUGAGAGGAGGUGCAUGGCCGUCGUCAGUUCGUACUGUGAAGCAUCCUGUUAAGUCAGGCGACGAGCGAGACCCACGCCAACAGUUGCCAGCAUGUCCUCCGGGAUGGUGGGGACACUGUUGGGACCGCCUCUGCUAAAGAGGAGGAAGGAAUGGGCAACGGUAGGUCAGCAUGCCCCGAAUUAUCCGGGCUACACGCGGGCUACAAUGGUCAGGACAAUGGGCAUCAACACCGAAAGGUGAAGGCAAUCUCUUAAACCUGUCCUUAGUUCGGAUUGUGGGCUGCAACUCGCCCACAUGAAGCUGGAAUCUGUAGUAAUCGUGUCUCAAAAUGGCACGGUGAAUAUGUCCCUGCUCCUU